Long non-coding RNA from Oncorhynchus kisutch (coho salmon), 5436 nucleotides. Lineage: Eukaryota; Metazoa; Chordata; Actinopteri; Salmoniformes; Salmonidae. The record is from Ensembl.
UCCUCUUCCUGGACAUUGAUCAUGUAAAGGAUUACAGAGGUUAAAGUUCAACGUGACAAUGUUAGUAAAUGAACCACAUGUUGUGUACCGUUUCAGAUUUUAUUUCAACAGUCAACAUACAUCUACUGCUUAUCAGCUUCAUCCAAAUGUCCACAUUGUCUGUUGUAAAACUAGCUAUAUUCUGACACAGCAACAACAACCCCAUAACAGACCUACUAUCUCUCACACACGUCCACACACUGUGGGAGCUGAACCUGUCUCAGGUCUGGGUCAGGACCACUGGUCUCAGGUCAGGGUUCAGGUCUGGGUGAGGACCACUGGUGUCAGGUCAGGGUUAGGACCACUGGUCUCAGGUCAGGGAUGGGACCACUGACCUCAGGAGAAGGUUCAGGUCAGGGAUGGGACCACUGGUCUCAGGUCAGGGUUCAGGUCUGGGUCAGGACCACUGGUCUCAGGACAAGGUUCAGGUCUGGGAUGGGACCACUGUUCUCAGGACAAGGUUCAGGUCAGGGAUGGGACCACUGGUCUCAGGUCAGGGUUCAGGUCUGGGUCAGGACCACUGGUCUCAGGUCAGGGAUGGGACCACUGACCUCAGGAGAAGAUUCAGGUCAGGGAUGGGACCACUGGUCUCAGGUCAGGGUUCAGGUCUGGGCCACUGGUCUCAGGUCAGGGAUGGGACCACUGGUCUCAGGUCAGGGUUCAGGUCAGGACCACUGUUCUCAGGUCAGGGAUGGGACCACAGGGUUCAGGUCAGGGAUGGGACCACUGACCUCAGGACAGGGUUCAGGUCAGGGAUGGGACCACUGACCUCAGGACAAGGUUCAGGUCAGGGAUGGGACCACUGGUCUCAGGACAGGGAAGGGACCACUGGUCUCCAGUCAGAACUUAUUCAAAGCCUUUACCACAGGUAUCAGUCAUUACAUCAUUCCUUUACCACAGGUAUCAGUCAUUACAUCAUUCCUUUACCACAGGUAUCAGUCAUUACAUCAUUCCUUAACCACAGGUAUCAGACAUUACAUCAUUCCUUUACCACAGGUAUCAAUCAUUACAUCAUUCCUUUACCACAGGUAUCAGUCAUUACAUCAUUCCUUAACCACAGGUAUCAGACAAAACCCACAACCACACCGUUAAUAAUAUAUCAUAUUUAGCGCUUUAAUCCAAAGUGACUUACAGUCAUGCGUGCGUACAUUUUACGUCUGGGCGGGCCCCGGGAAUCGAACCUACAACCCUGGGGUACAAGCGCCAUGCUCUACCAACUGAGCUGUUCGGGAACUGUUCGGUAGCUGUUCGGUAGCUGUUCGGGAACUGUUCGGGAGCUGUUCGGUAGCUGUUCGGGAACUGUUCGGGAACUGUUCGGUAGCUGUUCGGGAACUGUUCAGUUGUUCCAGCAUCUUUUCUUGCUGCUCAAAUAAGACCUGAGAUUUGAAUUGUCAAUCAGAAGAAGACGGAGGACCAGGAGAAGCCUCUAAUUUGGAUGUGUGAGGUAUUGGAUGAUUUGACACAGGGCUAUCAAGGAUCUCUGAUCGCGUUCUUCAUAAUGCUUCAUAAAGACUUCUUAAGGUUUCAUAAAGACUUCUUAAGGCUUCAUAAAGACUUCUUAAGGCUUCAUAAAGACUUCAUAAGGCUUCAUAAAGACUUCAUAAGGCUUCAUAAAGACUUCUUAAGGCUUCAUAAAGACUUCUUAAGGCUUCAUAAAGACUUCAUAACGCUUCAUAAAGACUUCAUAAGGCUUCAUAAAGACUUCUUAAGGCUUCAUAAAGACUUCUUAAGGCUUCAUAAAGACUUCUUAAGGCUUCAUAAAGACUUCUUAAGGCUUCAUAAAGACUUCAUAAGGCUUCAUAAAGACUUCAUAAGGCUUCAUAAAGACUUCAUAAGGCUUCAUAAAGACUUCAUAAGGCUUCAUAAAGACUUCUUAAGGCUUCAUAAAGACUUCAUUAAGGCUUCAUAAAGACUUCAUAAGGCUUCAUAAAGACUUCAUAAGGCUUCAUAAAGACUUCAUAAGGCUUCAUAAAGACUUCAUAAGGCUUCAUAAAGACUUCUUAAGGCUUCAUAAAGACUUCAUAAGGCUUCAUAAAGACUUCUUAAGGCUUCAUAAAGACUUCAUAAGGCUUCAUAAAGACUUCUUAAGGCUUCAUAAAGACUUCAUAAGGCUUCAUAAAGACUUCUUAAGGCUUCAUAAAGACUUCAUAAGGCUUCAUAAAGACUUCAUAAGGCUUCAUAAAGACUUCAUAAGGCUUCAUAAAGACUUCUAAGGCUUCAUAAAGACUUCUAAGGCUUCAUAAAGACUUCAUAAGGCUUCAUAAAGACUUCAUAAGGCUUCAUAAAGACUUCAUAAGGCUUCAUAAAGACUUCAUAAGGCUUCAUAAAGACUUCAUAAGGCUUCAUAAAGACUUCAUAAGGCUUCAUAAAAGCUCCAUGAAUCCAACGUCAGGCAGACAUCUACUGCUCCUUGACGACGAUCAUCAACAUUCAGAAAUAAAUGAAAAUGAUGAACACUCAUCCAAACAAAAGACUCAGUUUGUCUCAGUCCUCUCAGAGUUCACCUCUUCAUCACAUUCAUCAUCGUCACACAGCUGCUUUCUGCUUCCAGGUCAAAGUUCAACUACAUGAAUGCCAACUGUCGCGACACAAGUACACAUAGAGCCACUUAGAUCAACUCAAGGUUCAAGUCCCUAGUGGGAUAAUAAGAUAACAAGUCUUUCCCUCAACAUAGGUCUGAUCUGAGGAGGUUAUACUCCCUAGAACGGACGUUUCCAUUCAAAUCAAUGAUUCCGUAAGGGGUUGACUGGAUGUCCCUCUCAGGACACCUCUAUGACCUCCAUGCUUCCUGAGAAGCUGCUGUGACUCCCCAUCUCCUCCCUGGAUCUAGUCUCGCCUCCUCCUCUCAUCCUGUCUCCGAGUUCCAUCUGACAGCUCCGUCUCUUCAGCUGCUUCUCCAAGGGUGCUCUCCUCGUGCCAGCUCCUCCGUGAGUCCCCGUGGUCGCCGCUCCUCUGCCGCCCGCGCCGCCGCACCUCCUCCAACCCCUGACUCACGCUGUACGCCGCCACGCUGCCACCCCCCAGAAUGUUAGCCCCGCCUCCUAAGAUGGCGGAGGUGGAGUAGAAGUGGUGUGACUCGGAGAGGUACCAUCCCCCCGACGACACGGUGACGGGACCCAAUAGGAUGUCAGAGUGCCAGCCCUUCAGGGCGGAGCCUAGGUUAGGGGCGGGCUUGGACAGGUGCUGCUGGGAACGCGAUAGGCCGAACAGGAAGCCGGUGGUGUGAGGGGUGUGGUUAGAGUUCUCCUCCAUACUGCCACUACGGUGGAGCUGCUGGGAACAGGAGAGGGGAGGUGGAGGAGGCUUAGCCUGGCUGGGCUGCUUCAUGCUGGGCUGGUUGGAGGUGGUAGUGGUGCUGGUAGUGGUGGAGACUACAGGAGCAGCAGUGGGAGCUGCAGACGUAGCAGCAGGGUCUGCGGGACCGUCGUCCUGCUCCUUGUCAGGGCUCGGCUCAGGUGUAGACUGCUCUGACAUCUCCUUCACAGGAGAGAACUGAUACGGUUUCCCUGCAGGCUCCUUGAAGCUCACGGAUGGGUUAUAAUACUCCUGGGCUCCGGGGUGGGAUGUAGGGUGGGGAUACGGCCUCAUGGGGGCGCUGCUGCAGCCUCCUGGCUCCCUGUACGACUUGAUGUCCAGAGAGAAGGACCUUUUCAGCCGUGCAGCGCUGUCCUCCGUCCCCUGGUCCAGCUGAAGGCCUUGGAGCCCCUGGAGAGCCUGGGCAGGAGCCUCUCCUCUGGAGGCCAGGGGGCCAGGACACAUGGCAGGGUCAGGGGCUCCAGCAGGGCCAGGGCAGGGUCUGGGAGGCUGGGGGUAGGGUUAGGGGGGUCGUGCUCUAGUGGGGGGUGGAGGAGAGGAGAGGAUUUGACCCCGGUGGUUUCUCUGAUCUCCGACCUUCCAGGAGUCUUGAUCUUCUUUUCAAAGUCCAGCAGCUGACCCAGGAAGUUGAAGUUAGGAGAGAUGGUGGGUCUCUUCUCCUUCACGAACCUGGAGAGGAAAGACAGAAACACACAGGACAUCAGUAGAGACGCUGUAACACACUGGGUUGUUAUAGAGUUGGGAAAACCUAGAGGGUCAAGACAGGGGACAUUUAUAACUGUAACACAGGACAUCAGUAGAGACGCUGUAACACACUGGGUUGUUAUAGAGUUGGGAAAACCUAGAGGGUCAAUACAGGGGACAUUUAUAACUGUAACACAGGACAUCAGUAGAGACGCUGUAACACACUGGGUUGUUAUAGAGUUGGGAAAACCUAGAGGGUCAAUACAGGGGACAUUUAUAACUGUAACACAGGACAUCAGUAGAGACGCUGUAACACACUGGGUUGUUAUAGAGUUGGGAAAACCUAGAGGGUCAAGACAGGGGACAUUUAUAACUGUAACACAGGACAUCAGUAGAGACGCUGUAACACACUGGGUUGUUAUAGAGUUGGGAAAACCUAGAGGGUCAAGACAGGGGACAUUUAUAACUGUAACACAGGACAUCAGUAGAGACGCUGUAACACACUGGGUUGUUAUAGAGUUGGGAAACCUAGAGGGUCAAGACAGGGGACAUUUAUAACUGUAACACAGGACAUCAGUAGAGACGCUGUAACACACUGGGUUGUUAUAGAGUUGGGAAAACCUAGAGGGUCAAGACAGGGGACAUUUAUAACUGUAACACAGGACAUCAGUAGAGACGCUGUAACACACUGGGUUGUUAUAGAGUUGGGAAAACCUAGAGGGUCAAGACAGGGGACAUUUAUAACUGUAACACAGGACAUCAGUAGAGACGCUGUAACACACUGGGUUGUUAUAGAGUUGGGAAAACCUAGAGGGUCAAGACAGGGGACAUUUAUAACUGUAACACAGGACAUCAGUAGAGACGCUGUAACACACUGGGUUGUUAUAGAGUUGGGAAAACUAGAGGGUCAAUACAGGGGACAUUUAUAACUGUAACACAGGACAUCAGUAGAGACGCUGUAACACACUGGGUUGUUAUAGAGUUGGGAAAACCUAGAGGGUCAAGACAGGGGACAUUUAUAACUGUAACACAGGACAUCAGUAGAGACGCUGUAACACACUGGGUUGUUAUAGAGUUGGGAAAACCUAGAGGGUCAAUACAGGGGACAUUUAUAACUGUAACACAGGACAUCAGUAGAGACGCUGUACACACUGGGUUGUUAUAGAGUUGGGAAACCUAGAGGGUCAAUACAGGGGACAUUUAUAACUGUAACACAGGACAUCAGUAGAGACGCUGUAACACACUGGGUUGUUAUAGAGUUGGGAAAACCUAGAGGGUCAAUACAGGGGACAUUUAUAACUGUAACACAGGACAUCAGUAGAGAUGCUGCUGAGGUUACCAUCCCAGCCAUCAUUACAGCCCCCCACAGUGCAGUGUGUUCAUUCAGGAGAACAAGCU